This 202-nucleotide ribosomal RNA is filed under the name uncultured bacterium. RNAcentral's name for it is "partial 16S ribosomal RNA". It matches the Rfam family "Bacterial small subunit ribosomal RNA", at positions 133 to 334 of the family's 1533-position model. The record is from RNAcentral.
GGUGGUGGGGGAGUAGCCGGGCUACGCCCGGGUAAUACCGCAUACGGUUCUCGAGGGGAGUCCCUUGGGAAAGAAACCUCCGGGGCACAGAGAGGGGCUCGCGGCCUAUCAGCUAGUUGGGGGGGUAAUGGCCCACCAAGGCGACGACGGGUAGCUGGUCUGAGAGGAUGGCCAGCCACAUUGGGACUGAGAGACGGCCCAG